GAGGGUAUAGUUCAGUGGUAGAGUUCUUGCUUAGCAGGCAGGAGGUCCUGGGUUCAAUCUCCAGCACCUCCA
RNAcentral lists this transfer RNA (72 nucleotides) under Camelus bactrianus (Bactrian camel). It matches the Rfam family "tRNA". From Rfam's summary of the family: Transfer RNA (tRNA) molecules are approximately 80 nucleotides in length. Their secondary structure includes four short double-helical elements and three loops (D, anti-codon, and T loops). Lineage: Eukaryota; Metazoa; Chordata; Mammalia; Artiodactyla; Camelidae. The record is from Rfam by way of RNAcentral. RNAcentral also lists the same sequence under 2 other names.